GUGAAUUGCAUUAAUCUAAAGUACUGCAGAGAUGAAACUUAAAGCAGGAAGCAACAUACCAUGAGUGUACUGGAAGGGAACACAUUUGUGUCAUGUGAAGAGACAUGACAAAAACAGCCCUUCUUAAAUUAUUUGUGGCAGUAGUGAUCACAUUCAUUUUAAUUUUGCCGGAAUAUUUCAAGACACCAAAAGAAAGAACAUUGGAGCUAUCAUGUCUGGAAGUGUGUUUACAAUCUAAUUUUACCUAUUCACUCUCCUCCUUAAACUUUUCUUUUGUGACUUUUCUGCAAUCAGUAAGGGAAACUCAAAUUAUCAUGAGAAUCUUUCUAAAUCCCUCCGAUUUUCAUAACUUCACCAGGACUUGCCAAGACAUCACAGGUGAAUUUAAAAUGUGCUCCUUGUGUUUGGUUUGUGAGUCUCAAGGAAACAUGGAUUUUAUUUCUCAGGAACAAACACCAAAAGUUCUUAUCAGGAGAGGAUCAAUGGAAGUGAAAGCAAAUGAUUUUCAUUCACCUUGUCAGCACUUUAACUUCACCGUAGCUCCUCUGGUUGACCACUUGGAGGAAUAUAACACUACCUGUCAUCUUAAAAACCACACUGGAAGAUCAGCAAUCAUGGAGGAUGAGCCAAGCAAGGGGAAAUCUAUAAACCGUACUUGUAGAAUCAUGGAAUACCCGAACGAUUGUAUACACAUUUCUUUGCACCUAGAGAUGGAUGUAAAAGAUAUCACUUGUUCCAUGAAGAUCACUUGGUAUAUUUUAGUUCUAUUAGUUUUUAUGUUUUUGAUCAUCCUCACUAUCCGCAAAAUACUUGAAGGCCACAGAAGAGUGCAGAAGUGGCAGAGUCACAGAGACAAACCUACAUCUGUUCUCUUAAGAGGAAGUGAUUCGGAGAAACUGAGAGCAUUGAAUGUGCAGGUUAUUUCAGCAGAGACCACGCAGAGGCUGCCUUUGGAUGAAGUCCAGGAAGUGCUUCCCCCAAUACCAGAACUAUAAGUUACUUCCGCAGUGUAUCCGUGAGAUCAAUAUACACGAAUAUCCCUGGGCACCUUGGACUGAGCCCUUUGAAGAAUACUCAUAAUUUUAUUUUGUGAAUGAGUAGACUGGAAAAUGUUUGGGUCCAGCUGAGGAUGCACAGUUGGAAAGCAAGAGGAAUGCUGACUGGUUGAUGAAAACUAGCUUAAGAGCAUUCAUUUGACCCAUGAGAUCAAGGGAACAAGAGUAUUUGCAAGAAGCCAUUAUGAGUCAUGGAAAACAAGAUGAUGAAACCCAUGGAAACAGCAAGAGAAUUCCUACUCUUUCUCUUCUUAAAAAAAUCUAUCACAUACAGCACAGAAUGGAGUCAAGAUUUUAAUUUUGAGGAACUAAAAAAAGGAUCAAAUAUGAAAACCCUUUCUUUUAUUGGGCCACAUUGGUUAACUGCAGGGUCAGAUUUAAUAAUCAGUGAUGGGGUUGAGGACAUGCUACCCCAAAAUAUGGCACCUUGGCGAACUGAAUGUUUUAAGCUGAAGGAUUUGAGAAAAUGGCAAAUUUUAAGUGGAAAUAUUACUCUGACCUUCCUUUGCCACCUUUCUCCCCGGAAGCAGAUACUGUGAAGCACACAAAGAUGUAGAUGGCCUACACUGCCUACAGAGAAUUUACACUCUGGCAGAGGAGACAGGAUGUGUACGCCUCUGGUGAAAAUACUAGACACAAUACGGUAAGCUAAGUGUCAAUUGCAGGAUGCAGGCUUCCUGCUGAGAAUAUAUAAGCCAAUAGGAUCAAUUCCAGUUGGGAGGAAUUAGGGCAGGCUUUUGAGCAGGGUUUUGAAGAUGGCUUUUCCUGAUUUCUCAGAAUCACCAAACCUCUUAAAUACACACGUUCUCAGCCCCCAUAACUGUUUUCAUACCUAUUACUUUGCCAUUAUUUUUGUGGUUACAAAUUAAUGUCUGGCUUCCUUUCUAGACUGGAAGCUGCAUGAGGACAGGGAACAUGUCUGGUUCUGCUCACCAUAGUAUCCCCAGCAGCUGGUAGGGUGUUUGGCUCACAGUAGGUACUUUGUAAAUAUUUGCUGGGUAAAGAACUAGGCCGGGUGCAGUGGCUCACACCUGUAAUCCCAGCA
This is a non-coding RNA of Chlorocebus sabaeus (green monkey), 2100 nucleotides long. NCBI's taxonomy places the organism in Eukaryota, Metazoa, Chordata, Mammalia, Primates, Cercopithecidae. The record is from RefSeq and is a predicted model, not a curated record.